Molecule: ribosomal RNA, 482 nt
Filed under: uncultured bacterium
Lineage: Bacteria
Description: partial 16S ribosomal RNA
Rfam family: Bacterial small subunit ribosomal RNA
Source: RNAcentral
GACGGACGCUGGCGGCGUGCUUAACACAUGCAAGUCGGACGAUGAAACCUAACUUGCUAGGUCGAUUAGUGGCGAACGGGUGAGUAACACGUGACUAACCUGCCCCUUUCUCUGGGAUAACGCUCCGAAAGGAGUGCUAAUACCGGAUACUCACACCUAGGCACAAGCCUUGGUGUGGAACGUUUUUCGGAAAGGGAUGGAGUCGCGGCCUAUCAGCUUGUUGGUGAGGUAACGGCUCACCAAGGCGACGACGGGUAGCCGGCCUGAGAGGGCGACCGGCCACACUGGGACUGAGACACGGCCCAGACUCCUACGGGAGGCAGCAGUGGGGAAUAUUGCACAAUGGGCGCAAGCCUGAUGCAGCGACGCCGCGUGAGGGAUGAAGGUCUUCGGAUUGUAAACCUCUUUCAGUAGGGACGAAGCGAAAGUGACGGUACCUAAAGAAGAAGCACCGGCUAACUACGUGCCAGCCGCCGCCGUAA